This 332-nucleotide unclassified non-coding RNA is filed under the name soil metagenome. RNAcentral's name for it is "partial contains 5.8S ribosomal RNA, internal transcribed spacer 2, and large subunit ribosomal RNA". The stretch from base 1 to 120 matches the Rfam family "5.8S ribosomal RNA", at positions 35 to 154 of the family's 154-position model. The record is from RNAcentral.
GAUGAAGAACGUAGCGAAAUGCGAUAAGUAGUGUGAAUUGCAGAAUUCAGUGAAUCAUCGAAUCUUUGAACGCACAUUGCGCCCUUUGGUAUUCCUUAGGGCAUGCCUGUUCGAGCGUCAUUUAAACCUUCAAGCUCAGCUUGGUGUUGGGUGACUGUCCGCUUCACCGCGGACUCGCCUCAAAAUUAUUGGCGGCCGGUACAUUGGCUUCGAGCGCAGCAGAAACGCGAACUCGGGCCCGUCGUAUUGGCUCCCAGAAGCUAUCUUCACGAUUUUGACCUCGGAUCAGGUAGGGAUACCCGCUGAACUUAAGCAUAUCAAUAAGCGGAGGA